RNAcentral lists this ribosomal RNA (705 nucleotides) under uncultured bacterium. RNAcentral's name for it is "bacterial SSU rRNA". It matches the Rfam family "Bacterial small subunit ribosomal RNA", at positions 56 to 749 of the family's 1533-position model. The record is from RNAcentral.
UGCAGUCGAGCGGCAGCGGGAAAGUAGCUUGCUACUUUUGCCGGCGAGCGGCGGACGGGUGAGUAAUGCCUGGGGAUCUGCCCAGUCGAGGGGGAUAACAGUUGGAAACGACUGCUAAUACCGCAUACGCCCUACGGGGGAAAGGAGGGGACCUUCGGGCCUUUCGCGAUUGGAUGAACCCAGGUGGGAUUAGCUAGUUGGUGGGGUAAUGGCUCACCAAGGCGACGAUCCCUAGCUGGUCUGAGAGGAUGAUCAGCCACACUGGAACUGAGACACGGUCCAGACUCCUACGGGAGGCAGCAGUGGGGAAUAUUGCACAAUGGGGGAAACCCUGAUGCAGCCAUGCCGCGUGUGUGAAGAAGGCCUUCGGGUUGUAAAGCACUCUCAGCGAGGAGGAAAGGUUGGCGCCUAAUACGUGUCAACUGUGACGUUACUCGCAGAAGAAGCACCGGCUAACUCCGUGCCAGCAGCCGCGGUAAUGCGGAGGGUGCAAGCGUUAAUCGGAAUUACUGGGCGUAAAGCGCACGCAGGCGGUUGGAUAAGUUAGAUGUGAAAGCCCCGGGCUCAACCUGGGAAUUGCAUUUAAAACUGUCCAGCUAGAGUCUUGUAGAGGGGGGUAGAAUUCCAGGUGUAGCGGUGAAAUGCGUAGAGAUCUGGAGGAAUACCGGUGGCGAAGGCGGCCCCCUGGACAAAGACUGACGCUCA